This 381-nucleotide ribosomal RNA is filed under the name Strobilidiidae sp. RNAcentral describes it as "partial small subunit ribosomal RNA". It matches the Rfam family "Eukaryotic small subunit ribosomal RNA", at positions 582 to 975 of the family's 1831-position model. The record is from RNAcentral. Lineage: Eukaryota; Ciliophora; Spirotrichea; Choreotrichida; Strobilidiidae.
AUUCCAGCUCCAAUAGCGUAUAUUAAAGUUGUUGCAGUUAAAAAGCUCGUAGUUGGAUUUCUGGCAGGAUGACUUUGCCCUCUGUAGAGUGCGCAAUGCUGUCCUACCAUCCUUCUGUUAACCCUGGAGGCCUUUAACAGCUUGUAGGGGGCUCAGAUAUUUUACCUUGAGAAAAUUAGAGUGUUUCAGGCAGGCUAGCGCCGGAAUACAUUAGCAUGGAAUAAUAGAAUAGGACUUAAGCCUCUUCUGUUGGUCUGAGUGGUGUAAGUAAUGAUUAAUAGGGAUGGUUGGGGGCAUUAGUACUUAACUGUCAGAGGUGAAAUUCUCGGAUUUGUUAAAGACUAACUUAUGCGAAAGCAUUUGCCAAGGAUGUUUUCAUUA